RNAcentral lists this long non-coding RNA (657 nucleotides) under Homo sapiens (human). RNAcentral's name for it is "non-protein coding LRRC8C-DT:35". Lineage: Eukaryota; Metazoa; Chordata; Mammalia; Primates; Hominidae. The record is from RNAcentral.
GCAGGCCGCGCCGCCCGGGAACUUCCUCCCCUGCAGAGACCACCUCGCUCCCGGGACUCGCCAGCGAGGGAUGCCGCCGGCCGCCGGGGGCCUUCUCCAGGACCAGGAGAGAAAUCCUCUCUCCGCUUCACGACGCGGCCACUCCCACCCCUGAGACGCCCACCUGGCGGACUCUGAGGGAGGAUUCGGCUGCGUCUAAUACCACCUCCACCCCUCAUCCCUCACAAUGCGCGGAAAACCACAGGCGGCUGUGCGCGCAGCGUCGGCUCAGCCACCGCAGCUCCUCCCCUGGGAUGAAAAAGCACUCUGACGUCUUGAAAGCUGGCAGCUCUCUGUUUGGAAAAUCUCUGCCCAGUGAAAAAAUGUACCGACAAGAUUACUAAGUAACACAGUCUUCUGGGAAUGCCUUAUCAAUGCCAGCUAUUUGAAGAGCACCCAAAGUCAAACUAGUGCUCCGCGCUGGCAGUCUGGAAAAGGCAGAUGUAUGUGAGUAGAGAAACUGAUAGACAACUAGUUGCUGGCCAGUUGGCCUGUUUUCGUGCUACAAGCCUUCAGAAAACAGUCGCCUCCUUUUACCACGUUUCUAUUUCUAAACCAAAAUGAAAAGGACGUUUGUUCAAAAGAUAUUCUCUUGGGCUUUACAUUGCUUUCCCCCUG